GGGUCGGUGCUGGGAGGGCUGAGCUGCACUGCAGGCACUCGCAGCUCUGCUGGCGCAGCAGUUGUGUUCAGCUGGGGGAGGCGAAGGAUGGAUGGAAGUCGGGGCGUAGACGUGGAUUUUGGUGGCGGUGUUUGAUGGGAAUUUAUUGUCAUCUUUCUUAAAUGACUGCUGGACUCACACAGCGCUGCCCGCGCCCCCCCGGAGCGCCCCUACCCCAAACCCAACUCCCUGCUGCUGAGCUGAGCGCCCGGAGGGGAAACGCCUCCCGCAGCACUGAGCGCUGCUGUACAGACACCAACCCAACACCGCUGCGGGACACAGUCUUCGAUGAAGCUUCUGCUCACGUCGUCCAAAGCCUGAAAAGCGAUGUGGCUUCUCAGUAAAG
This 385-nucleotide long non-coding RNA is filed under the name Gallus gallus (chicken). Lineage: Eukaryota; Metazoa; Chordata; Aves; Galliformes; Phasianidae. The record is from RNAcentral.